Molecule: long non-coding RNA, 465 nt
Organism: Dermacentor silvarum
Lineage: Eukaryota; Metazoa; Arthropoda; Arachnida; Ixodida; Ixodidae
Exons: 3
Source: RefSeq, a predicted model, not a curated record
UGUGGAUACCAUCGUUGAAGACGCUAAACUCGGAAGUAAGGUGAAAAUCUACGGCACAGUUUUCAUCAGAUCCACCGUCGGUAAAAACCCAGUUCUGCAGCUGUCCUUCUCAAGGCCCGAUGGUACCAAACUACCUUGCGUGGAGAAGAUUUUGCCAUGCAAUCUGAACCUCUGUGAUGGAAAAACACGCACUGAGAAGCGACUGAACAAGGCGUGGAACAACAGAUGCCCCGUCCACCCAGGCACGUACAACGCGGAGUUAGUGUUCCGUUUGCCAAACAACAAGGAGGCGAAGGAAUACUUCGGGGAUGGAAACGUUGUAGCCACUGUGAAGAUUGUGGACGACGGCCAACUUCUGGGGUGUGCGACCUAUCCGAUCAAAGUGGACGUCGAUUGAAAAGCGAUGUGUGGAGCUGAUGUCUCUGCACAACGCCAUUUACGAAAUGAAGGCUGCUACAAACUAGA